ACGUGUUACAAUGGCAGGUACAGAGGGGUGCUACCGGGUGACCGGAUGCCGAUCUCGAAAACCUGUCCCAGUUCGGACUGGAGUCUGCAACCCGACUCCACGAAGUUGGAUUCGCUAGUAAUCGCGCAUCAGCCAUGGCGCGGUGAAUACGUUCCCGGGCCUUGUACACACCGCCCGUCAAGCCAUGGGAGCCGGGGGCGCCUGAAGUCCGGGACCGCGAGGACCGGCCUAGGGCGAAACUGGUGACUGGGGCUAAGUCGUAACAAGGUACC
Molecule: ribosomal RNA, 272 nt
Filed under: uncultured bacterium
Lineage: Bacteria
Description: partial 16S ribosomal RNA
Rfam family: Bacterial small subunit ribosomal RNA
Source: RNAcentral